GCCACCUCUUGGACUGACACUGUAAUUACACAUUCUUUUUUGGGAAAUCGAUUCUGGUGCGUUUAAUUCGUGUUUAAAAAUUCGUAACUUUAGUUUUAUGCAGUACAGUAAACAAAUAAGUAAAUAAAAUUAAAGAUACAUAAAAUUCACAAUUUAAUCUAGGCUAAGAGCAAUUGAAUUCAUUCAAACCAACAAACAAACUGCGUGUGGUUAUGUUAUAAAUAUAAAAAUAAUAAAAAAAAACAAAUAAAAUUUUGCGUUUAUCCUGUCCACUUAUCUAUAUAAUGAUGACUCUAUCUUAACUCUUCUCUAUCAGAUAUCCUCCUGUCACUAAACUGUUGCGUCACGUGGUUUUGGCAGUAACUAUGGAAACGUCCACGCAAUGCACUAUCAGCUUCCGUUUUUUACUUUUAUCCACCGCCGUAUAUAGGAUUGAGACCAUGGCCGUAGCUUCUAUUGUUAAGCUUCUUAAACGGACUAAACUGACAUUAUAGUUUGUCUGGCAUCUGAAAGUGGAGAUGAAGCCUCAUACCAGCGUCGUCAGACCUAAACUGAUGUCACUGCCAGCUGAAGCUCCUCUGAUAAUACAGGACGUUACAGACGCGCGAGCCAUGCAUCCUUCAAACCUCAUCUCCAGUCCUCCAGUGUCCGGAUGUUCCACGGCUGCUGAAGCCAGGCUGAAUGUUUUCUCAGCGACACGGAAAUGCCCACGCAGUCCGAGCGAUUCCAGGGAUCUAAAGCCUCACAGUGUCAGCUCUAUUACUAAAGGGCCACUGCUUCCAUUUCUAGCCAAAAAUCACUCAAACGUAACCUUACAAAACAAUGUGUAUGACAGUGAUAUUUCUGGACGGCAUUUCUUAUUUGAUAAACGAUGGAGAAAUGGAACUUACUUCACUAAUGGCAUUGAAGGUGAUGUUCUGAUAAACCACAACACUACAAAUCCACUGUCUCAGGACUUCCAUGUGUAUCGCUCUCACAAUCUAACCAGAUUCGCCCACCGCAAAGAACUCUGCCUGCGCGACCCAAGACCACUUAUUUGCGGGUCUGAUUAUCUGGCUUCAUUUCCAUCAGUUCUGUUACCAGCCACCACCCCAUCUGUCAGUGGACGGCUCUGUUUAUCACAAAACUAUAAAAACAGAUUAAGGAUGAAAACCAGAGCACGAAAUCUCUUCGAUGGCGCUAACAACAAAACCUGUGGGCCGGUAAUUGUUUUUCAGCCCAAUCGUACCCUGAUCCACACCUGGGUGCCUCGGCCUCUUUUGUUCAGAGGCUCACAGAGAUUUCCUCUCUGGAAGCAGAAACAGUGCGGCAGGAGAGAAUGAAGAGACUCAAAAAGAUCAAUAGGCAGGAUUCUUAAUCGGAGUUCAUUAGCCAAAGAGGAAACACUUGACUCUUGAAAUCACAGCUGUGCCAAGAUGGAGCAAAUAAAAUCAAGGAGAAAAACUUGAGAGGUACA
Cyprinus carpio (common carp) is the source of this 1456-nucleotide long non-coding RNA. The record is from Ensembl. NCBI's taxonomy places the organism in Eukaryota, Metazoa, Chordata, Actinopteri, Cypriniformes, Cyprinidae.